GAUGAACGCUGGCGGCGUGCCUAACACAUGCAAGUCGAGCGAACCCUUCGGGGUGAGCGGCGGACGGGUGAGUAACGCGUGGGUAACCUGCCCUAUACACACGGAUAACGUACCGAAAGGUACGCUAAUACGGGAUAAUAUUGUUGGAUGGCAUCUUCUAACAAUCAAAGCUCCGGCGGUAUAGUAUGGACCCGCGUCUGAUUAGGUAGUUGGUGAGGUAAUGGCGCACCAAGGUGACGAUCAGUAGCCGACCUGAGAGGGUGAUCGGCCACACUGGAACUGAGACACGGUCCAGACUCCUACGGGAGGCAGCAGUGGGGAAUAUUGCACAAUGGGCGAAAGCCUGAUGCAGCAACGCCGCGUGAGCGAUGAAGGUCUUCGGAUCGUAAAGCUCUGUCCUCAAGGAAGAUAAUGACGGUACUUGAGGAGGAAGCCCCGGCUAACUACGUGCCAGCAGCCGCGGUAA
RNAcentral lists this ribosomal RNA (466 nucleotides) under uncultured bacterium. RNAcentral describes it as "partial 16S ribosomal RNA". It matches the Rfam family "Bacterial small subunit ribosomal RNA", at positions 28 to 523 of the family's 1533-position model. The record is from RNAcentral.